UACGUAGGGUGCAAGCGUUGUCCGGAAUUAUUGGGCGUAAAGAGCUCGUAGGCGGUUUGUUGCGUCGGCUGUGAAAACCUGAGGCUCAACCUCAGGCCUGCAGUCGAUACGAGCAGACUAGAGUGAUGUAGGGGAGACUGGAAUUCCUGGUGUAGCGGUGAAAUGCGCAGAUAUCAGGAGGAACACCGAUGGCGAAGGCAGGUCUCUGGGCAUUAACUGACGCUGAGGAGCGAAAGCAUGGGGAGCGAACAGG
RNAcentral lists this ribosomal RNA (253 nucleotides) under uncultured bacterium. RNAcentral's name for it is "partial 16S ribosomal RNA". It matches the Rfam family "Bacterial small subunit ribosomal RNA", at positions 524 to 776 of the family's 1533-position model. The record is from RNAcentral.